CCCUACGCCCCUUCCAGAGGGGGACAACAGUUGGAAACGACUGCUAAUACCGCAUACGAUCUAAUCUCGGCAUCGAGGAUAGAUGAAAGGUGGCCUCUACAUGUAAGCUAUCACUGAAGGAGGGGAUUGCGUCUGAUUAGCUAGUUGGAGGGGUAACGGCCCACCAAGGCGACGAUCGGUAGCCGGACUGAGAGGUUGAACGGCCACAUUGGGACUGAGACACGGCCCAG
This 230-nucleotide ribosomal RNA is filed under the name uncultured bacterium. Its description in RNAcentral is "partial 16S ribosomal RNA". It matches the Rfam family "Bacterial small subunit ribosomal RNA", at positions 120 to 334 of the family's 1533-position model. The record is from RNAcentral.